Molecule: long non-coding RNA, 1374 nt
Filed under: Anas platyrhynchos platyrhynchos (common mallard)
Lineage: Eukaryota; Metazoa; Chordata; Aves; Anseriformes; Anatidae
Description: lncRNA (ENSAPLG00000023179.1)
Source: RNAcentral
UCAUCCUUGAAGGGAUGAAACCACCCCAAAACCCUACCCCAAAUGGGAUCAGGGGCUGCACCUUGCUCCCCCAUGGUCCCCGAGCAUCCCGCUCCGGGGCUCCGUCAGCUCCUGCCCCACAGUGCCCGGGGGUGCCCGGGGCCACCCAGCCCCAGCCGUGUCCCCAACCCCGGCCCCGCUCCGCACAAGGCCGCUCUGUUCUCCCGGGAAGCUCUGGCAAACCCCACUGCCACCAGCAGCUCCUUAACCCCUUCUCACCCCACAGGGAGCCUCGGGCACGGCACGGUGACCCCACAGCUUCCCGGGGUGCCACAGGGGCAGGGGACGGCAGCGCCUGUGCCCCGGCCCCAGGACACCCGGUGCUGAGGCCAGGAAGGUUUUGGGGGCAUCCCCACUGCCCCCAUGGCGCACACCCCACAAAUCCAGCCCCACGCUGGCCUCGGCUGUCCCCAAAAGGCCACGGUUGCUGUUGGGGACGGGGCUGGGCACGCUCUGCCCCAUGGCUGCGGGAUCACCCCAUUUGGGUACGGGAUCGCCCUAUUUAGGUGCAGAAUCACCCCAUUUAGGUGUGGGAUCACCCCAUUUGGGGUGGGAUCACCCCAUUUCUGCUCAGCCCUGGGGUCACAGACCCUGCUGGGGGCUCCAGGGGCAAUGGGAUGGGGCAGACGAGCUGCAGGGGGCUUUGGGAAGCGCCCUCGUGCGCAACCUGGGGACGAGGGGCAGGGGGUGGCAGGAGGGGCCCCUUCCCUGCCCCACAGCCCGGCCCCACACCCCCGCCCCGGCCCCAUGGGGCCACACAGCCCCAGCCCGGCAGGAGGAGGGGAAACUGGGGGAGGAAGAGGAAGAGGAAGAGGAAGAGCAGGGACACGGCGGGGGCUCGGCACCACCAGGGCCACCGCGGCCGGGCUGUGGGGUGCCGGGGGGGGGAUGCGGGGUCUGGGGGUGAUUCAUCCCCCGCCGGGAUGGGAGAAACGACUCAUCCGGGCUUGGGCAGAAAGGGGAAGCAAAAAUCCCUUCCCUCCAUCCCUCGCAGCCGGGGCACCCCCGGCCCCCCCGCGGGGUUUUUCCGCUGGGGGAGCGCAGCCGGCGCACGGGGACCCGGCACGGCCCCACAGAGCCCAGCACUGCACCCCACAGCCCACACCCCACACCCCGCACCCCACACCCCCCCCCACGCAGCCCCCACCCACGCUGCCACCUGCACAGCCCCGCCGUGCCCCACACCGUGCGCCCCACAGCCGCAAUCCCUGCUGCGCCCCACGGCACGCACCGUGCGCCCCACAGCGCGCACCCCACAGCGCACAGCCCCUGCCUGACCCCACACCCUACCCGGGGCACGACCCUACCCGCACCCUGCCCACCUCUCCCCGGGGU